GAUUAUUAUUAUUAUUUUGAAAUGGUAUGAUGAUGGUGGUGUGGUUGAUGGAGGAGAUGAGAUAUUCUAAGAGGAAUUCCUGAAAAGAUAAGCAGAAGCAGACGGAAAAGAGCAGUUGGAGAUGGGAAAAAUGGAAGGGGAGGUUCGUGAAUCGGGACAGAACAAGCUAUUAAAAGCACCAUUUUUCGCCGGUGAGAUCUAAGAAAGAAAGCAAAAUUUCCUCUGCCGUGGUAUCCUGGCCGAUGUGACUACUAAGCUUUCCGUGGCAGAUCGAUGCGAUGGGAUAGGAUGGGAAUGGCUCCAAAAUUUCGCCUAAAAUCCCCAAUUACAGGUCACAUCACUUCAAUUUCUAACUCACUUUACUGUUCAUUCCGUAUUUCCCACACCCUAAUUUCCCCAACCCUACUUUUUCUUUCAAGAUAUAUAUCAUAUAUGUGAAUACCAACCAUAAUGGUUAUUACAUUUUCUCUUUAUAUAUGAUAAUACAUUUAGUAUUCUGUGAUAUGAGGAUAAGUAGCGAUCAAAUAAUUGGUGUCCGUAAAAGGAAAGGAUGGAGAUGAAUUGGAGAGAGUUGCUAGACUCGGAAGUUGGAACUCAUUCUAUGAAUGUGGUAUUAGAUAUUUAAUAUAUUGACUCACGCAGGGUACUAUAUAGUACCAGGCAUUGAUCUUUUCUUCUGCAACAGCAUCAGAAAUUACCAAUAAAAUGAGAUUUUCAAAAAAGAGUUUGUUGUAAAGAAGUUGGAGGUGGGCUACAGCCAGAAGUUAGCAAAAACGAAGGUAGAAAGAAAAGAGAGCAUGGUAGAAGUAGAACUAGAAAGAAACAGAAUAAGGUGGUGAAGUGGAGACUUCUUCUCUCUGUCUUUAAUUUUUUUUCUUAAUUGUUUACCGGGUUGGCAGAAUGGCUGGUUUGUCUGCUUCUUUUCUAGUUUGGCGCCCAAAAUGGGUAAAUACAGGCAAUGUUAAGUCUUUUCUGUAUGUCAAAUCUUCCAGUCCUUUCAUAUUUCCCUUUUCUCCACUGCUUUAGAUUUCAUCAAUCAUCCAAAUCCACUCCUCUCCCGUCAUUUAUUGGAUCUCUCAAUUCGUUUCUUUCCUUUAAUUUCCUUUGUUUUAUGAUCUUUUUGGUUAGAGAGUGUUCAUCUUUUUAAGAAAAAUACAUAAAGGUUGUCUGAGAGGUGUUUUCUCGACUUUUUUUUUUUUUUUUGGAUUUAGUGAAGAAAAUAUCAGGAGAAGUAUGUGCAGGUAGAUAUUUUAGAGCUUGUUUUGUUUUGUUUUCUGAAGGAGUGCCUUUGUUUUUAGAAUUAUUGAAGGUGAUGUGAUUUGAAAAUUAAACCAUAUGAAAUUAUAUGUGAUUUGUGAUUUCAAGUAAUUGCAAUGACAUAAUAUAAUCUUAACUUUAUGGUGGCCAUCUAUUUAGAAUUUAACAUUCUACAAGAUUUUUUUACACCUAAAUAUUAUAAGAUCGGAUAGAUUGUCCUAUACACAACCAUUUACAUUAAACAGAAAUAUAAACUUGGCUUCUGAAAUUGUUUUUUGCUUUUUGUAUGACAAAAAAAGGGAAAAUAUUUUAGAAUAAUUGAGGGUGAUGUAAUUUGAAAAAUCAUUUUAUCUGGGGUUUGUGAUUUCAAAUUAUUUGAAUUUUUACAAGUUAUACACAACCUGUGAUUCUGUGGAAAAUAUCUUAAAUAGAAAAUAGAAACCUGUUGUUUUUUCUUAUUGAACACAAAACACAUUUCGAAACAUGCCCUCCUCUCAGCAAUCUUACUUUAGAUACUCAGAAAUCAAGGCCAACCAGAGAAAAAGUUCCAUUAAGUUUGGACUCUCUUUCCACAAAACGUUUGAUUUUUCAGUUAACACACAAUUUACAUUAAUAUAUAUUAAAACGAUCCUCCUCCCUCUGGCUGUUUGCCACCUCUCUUUCCGUAGGAUCUGCCUGUGCUUUGGAGGAGCUUGCUUCAUGAAGAGAGGAGGAAGGAUGGCAGAGGCCAAAAAUAUACUUAACUUAAGAUCUGGCUUCCCCAGCAGCUCAGUUCUAAGUUCCAAAUUCAAAAACUUCCCUUGAAGGGAAAACUAUAUGUAUUGCUAGCAUGGUAUCUAGCUGCUUACCGAAAGGUUGGCCAAGUUUCGCAAAUCCUCAAAUGCAUGCAUUGUUUCGGCAUCGAACCCUCCUGCAAACUGUAGCCGUGAAAGGCAAAACACAAUCAGCAAACAAUCUUUGUGUUUUCCUGAAGAAAAAUGCAGUGAACGAAGG
Molecule: long non-coding RNA, 2250 nt
Organism: Benincasa hispida (wax gourd)
Lineage: Eukaryota; Viridiplantae; Streptophyta; Magnoliopsida; Cucurbitales; Cucurbitaceae
Source: RefSeq, a predicted model, not a curated record